This is a long non-coding RNA of Astatotilapia calliptera (eastern happy), 928 nucleotides long. NCBI's taxonomy places the organism in Eukaryota, Metazoa, Chordata, Actinopteri, Cichliformes, Cichlidae. The record is from Ensembl.
AAUACAUUAACCAGUAGUGAAUAAAAGGUUUAUAGACAAGUAGCUCCACAUGUUUGGUUUAGCUUCCUGAAGCAUCCAUCAAGGCAUUUGUGUCUCUUCCCAGCCCUCACCCAGUAUAAACCACAAAACUACAGAGCCGGUGAAGGCUUUAUCAACAGCAAUGCUGAUAAAUUCAUAUAUAUAUCAUAUAGCUGAUGUCUGCUGUGUUGUAAGCUACUCACACUGUCCUCCUGCCACCCACUUGAUGCCAAUCCACCAGAGCGUGAACAUGGAGCAAUGAUGGUAGACGUGCAGGAAGGUGACCUGGUUAAAUUUUUUCCUCAGGAUGAAAAACACAGUGUCCAGAUACUCAAUGCCUUUGGAGAUGAAAUACCUCCACAGAGCUCCUGCCACCUGACUCCCGCAGAAAUAAAGAAGGGGAAGAAAAAGACUGUUAACAUAUGAACAUAUAUGAUCAAGAGCUACAUGUGUGUGAACUCUGAUUUUGGAAAUCCUAACCUCGACCCGAGACUGACUCACUUGUGGUUUCUGUUUCAAACUACGUCAUAGAGCAACAGGAAGGAAGGUGAAACUGAACACCAUUCAACUCCGGCUUGUACUUUUUUCUGAUAACAGGCCCGUGCUCUAAAUGUAUGGAUGCCUCUCAUGUUUCUAAAAGCUCUCUGAGUGACGUGUCCCUGGCAGGCUGACUGUAAUUUUCUGAACCAUGGGUACAGUGGAGAAUUAUUAACAGGUAGGGAUCUGGUUCCAAGGAAACUAAUUAUUGUAGACACAAAAGUCUUAAGAUAGUAAGUUACAUAAACAGCUGAAGUCCCACUACUAUAUUCAGAGUUUAUCUAUGCAAGCGUGUGUGUGUGUGUGUGUGUGUGUGUGUGUGUGUGUGUGUGUGUGUGUUCGGGAGAGUUGGGGUAUCCAAUUUCCUUUUUUU